Molecule: ribosomal RNA, 494 nt
Filed under: uncultured bacterium
Lineage: Bacteria
Description: partial 16S ribosomal RNA
Rfam family: Bacterial small subunit ribosomal RNA
Source: RNAcentral
GAUGAACGCUAGCGGCAGGCCUAACACAUGCAAGUCGAGGGGUAGACAUCUUCGGAUGUUGAGACCGGCGCACGGGUGCGUAACGCGUAUGCAAUCUGCCUUAUACUAAGGGAUAGCCCAGAGAAAUUUGGAUUAAUACCUUAUGGUUAAUAAAGCCGGCAUCGGUUUAAUUAUAAAGAUUUAUUGGUAUAAGAUGAGCAUGCGUCCCAUUAGUUAGUUGGUAAGGUAACGGCUUACCAAGACGAUGAUGGGUAGGGGUCCUGAGAGGGAGAUCCCCCACACUGGUACUGAGACACGGACCAGACUCCUACGGGAGGCAGCAGUGAGGAAUAUUGGUCAAUGGACGGAGGUCUGAACCAGCCACGCCGCGUGCAGGAUGAAGCAUCUAUGGUGUGUAAACUGCUUUUGUACGGGAAGAAAAAAAGCUACGUGUAGUUUACUGACGGUACCGUAAGAAUAAGGAUCGGCUAACUCCGUGCCAGCCGCCGCAGUAA